CUUAUCGUUCUCAGGAAGACGAAUAUCAACAUUUAAAGACACAAAUACACGCUACAUAGCUUUCCUCAACUUUCUGCUUUUCAUGAUCAUGCUCUGCGGAAAGCCCUCCAGACAUGUGAGCCUGCUCUCCCUGCCCGCCGCUGCCUUCCCAGCCUGGCUGCCACCUUCUGCACACAGACAAAAACAGCAUGAGAUUGGGAGUCCACAUGGAUAAACAUUUACCGCGCCUUCUGAUAGACAACGCUGACACCUGCCCCCUGGGGAGACCCUUCGCCGAGCCAGUGCACUGUUCCACGAGAGACUUCCCUUAUUUUAUC
Molecule: long non-coding RNA, 317 nt
Organism: Syngnathoides biaculeatus (alligator pipefish)
Lineage: Eukaryota; Metazoa; Chordata; Actinopteri; Syngnathiformes; Syngnathidae
Exons: 3
Source: RefSeq, a predicted model, not a curated record